ACCAUCCUGGUCUUGGGGUGAGCGACUGUCCAAUGAACGCAUAGUGAGGGCAGUCCUGCUGACACCACUGACAACACAGCGCGCCACUAGUGUGCAGACGCUAGCACGGUGCAAUUUUUGGAACC
Bufo bufo (common toad) is the source of this 125-nucleotide small nuclear RNA. RefSeq annotates it as U4atac minor spliceosomal RNA. The record is from RefSeq and is a predicted model, not a curated record. The transcript has a single exon. Lineage: Eukaryota; Metazoa; Chordata; Amphibia; Anura; Bufonidae.